UGCAAGGGCUAUUGGAUCUGAUGGAUCCG
Molecule: small RNA, 29 nt
Filed under: Bombyx mori (domestic silkworm)
Lineage: Eukaryota; Metazoa; Arthropoda; Insecta; Lepidoptera; Bombycidae
Description: ovarian small RNA-33363
Source: RNAcentral